AAAAUUCUAACAUGUCCACCAUUGGCCGUAAUUGUUAUAUCAUUCAUCUAAAACAUUAUCAACAUUGUCUCAUUGUAUACAUGGAACAUUUCAUUCAUCAUCAUCAUCAUCAUCAUCAUAUGACUUUACCUCAUUGUCAUAUAUAGAUGCUUUCAAAAUCUGAAUAGUUAAUAUCUGAACCAUCACAUCCAUCCAUUCAUCCAUCCAUCUAAUAGAACUAUGGCCCCGUAAAAAAAUGAAGAUAAAUUGACCUUUUUUUUUUUUUGAUUAUGUCCACAUAUUAGUGGUGAAAUCGAUUCUGCUCAGGUCAGCAAGAAAUGAAACCAAACGAAAUACAAUGUGAAACAACAACAAAAAAAAAAUUCAUUUCCAUUCACGAAAUAUAUUCAUAUAUAAAGAGCAAAAAAAAACAACAAAACAAAACAAAAUAUUCUGGUGCAUUUAUAUUCUCUGUCUGCAUUAAUUCUAUGUUUAUGUAAUAAUUUAUGAUAUGAUCAUGUUCUCCACCUACUUUUGAAUAUAUUCAUUGAAAUCAACAACAACAACAACAACAACAGCAACAGCAUUGCUAAAUGUAUAGGUGACAAGAUUUUUUUUUUGUCCCCUUUAUUCUGGAAUGUGUGUGUGUGUGUGUGUGUGUUAACGAAAAUGAAUUUAUAAAUGAAUCAAAAGUGAAGAGAAAAUCAAUGAGAAAUUGAUUUUUUUUUCUUACGCCAAUAUAUCGGCCACAAACUGAAUAAGAUUUUUUUUUUUCCUCCUUUUUUUUUUUACUGGUAAGUGUAAAGCCAACAACAAACAUACAGCAGCCAUACACAAACACAAUCCUAUUAGCUAUUUUUGGGCUACUGGUUAGUUUGAAUUCUUUUCCUGUUUUUUUUUUGCUAUAUUUUUUUCCCACUGAUCUAUGAUGAUUAUUAUUAUUAUUAUUAAGGCUCUUAAGUUUUUUUUUUUUGGCCUUUUCACUUUUCACUAAACCAUCUAAUGUAUAUUCUGGAUUCUUUUUUAGUUUCAAUAAACUAAAAACUAUAGAAUUUAGGAUCUUGAUCCAGAAACGAAGACUUUUAGCUGAAUUGAGUUGUUGUUUUGUC
Dermatophagoides farinae (American house dust mite) is the source of this 1088-nucleotide non-coding RNA. The record is from RefSeq and is a predicted model, not a curated record. NCBI's taxonomy places the organism in Eukaryota, Metazoa, Arthropoda, Arachnida, Sarcoptiformes, Pyroglyphidae.